UCCAGGAUGUAUAUUCUGAUGCCUAGUGAGA
This 31-nucleotide non-coding RNA is filed under the name Homo sapiens (human). Lineage: Eukaryota; Metazoa; Chordata; Mammalia; Primates; Hominidae. The record is from RNAcentral.